AUUUGACCUCAAAUGAGGUAGGACUA
RNAcentral lists this ribosomal RNA (26 nucleotides) under Rhodocollybia butyracea. Its description in RNAcentral is "partial large subunit ribosomal RNA". Lineage: Eukaryota; Fungi; Basidiomycota; Agaricomycetes; Agaricales; Omphalotaceae. The record is from RNAcentral.